Molecule: non-coding RNA, 30 nt
Filed under: Mus musculus (house mouse)
Lineage: Eukaryota; Metazoa; Chordata; Mammalia; Rodentia; Muridae
Source: RNAcentral
UGGAUAGGAAUCUGUAUGUGGCCUUCAAAU